UUAAGUCCGUAGCGUCUACCAAUUUCGCCAUAUCCCCUGGGGAUAGAGGGACUUGAACCCUCACGAUUUUUAAAGUCGACGGAUUUU
RNAcentral lists this transfer RNA (87 nucleotides) under Rubroshorea pachyphylla. RNAcentral describes it as "Shorea pachyphylla tRNA-Leu". Lineage: Eukaryota; Viridiplantae; Streptophyta; Magnoliopsida; Malvales; Dipterocarpaceae. The record is from RNAcentral.